This is a non-coding RNA of Pelobates cultripes (western spadefoot toad), 337 nucleotides long. The record is from the annotation of a GenBank genome assembly. NCBI's taxonomy places the organism in Eukaryota, Metazoa, Chordata, Amphibia, Anura, Pelobatidae.
GGUGGAGUAGAGGAGAGGAGAAAGAGAAGGAGGAGGAGAGAGAAGUAGAAGGAGGAGAAGGUGGAGUAGGAGGAGGAGUAGGAGUAGGCAGGGGUGGGCAGGUAAGGGAGCAGACAGGUCUCCAGUCUCUUCGGGGGCGUGGGUAUGUAGCAGUGGAGGAUAUAUCAGAAAUCAGAAUUAAGUAGAAAUGCAAUGGAGGCUGCAAAUAGCGCAUGUACAACAACUGUUAACUGGCCCUAUGCUUUCCCUAGAGAAAAAUAAUAAAAGGCUAACAAGCACAUCUGUCUGUACAGGCCUCGAACGCUUCACUCCGUGGGUAUCCCGCAGUGGCUAGUCC